Molecule: ribosomal RNA, 660 nt
Filed under: uncultured fungus
Lineage: Eukaryota; Fungi
Description: eukaryotic LSU rRNA
Rfam family: Eukaryotic large subunit ribosomal RNA
Source: RNAcentral
CCCGCUGAACUUAAGCAUAUCAAUAAGCGGAGGAAAAGAAACUAACAAGGAUUCCCUUAGUAACUGCGAGUGAAGUGGGAAAAGCUCAAAUUUAGAAUCUGGCAGUCACUUGGCUGUCCGAGUUGUAAUCUAUAGAAGUGUUGCCCGUGCUGGACCAUGUACGAGUCUCCUGCUAUGGAUCAUCACACAGGGAGAGAAUCCUGUCUUUGACAUGCACUGCCUGUGCUUUUGUGGUACGCUCUCAUAGAGUCGAGUUGUUUGUGAAUUCAGCUCAAAAUGGGUGGUAAAUGCCAUCUCAAGCUAAAUAUUGGCGAGAGACCGAUAGCGAACAAGUACCGUGAAGGAAAGAUGAAAAGAUCUUUGGAAAGAGAGUUAAACAGUACGUGAAAUUGCUGAAAGGGAAACGCUUGAAGUCAGUCAUGUUCACUCGGAAUCAGCUUUGCUUUUGCUGGGUGUACUUUCUUGUCAAUGGGUCAGCAUCAAUUUUGACCAGUGGAUAAAGUUGCUGGGAAUGUAGCAUCCUUUUGGAUGUGUUAUAGCCUGGUGAUGCAUACAGUGGUCGGGAUUGAGGAAUUCAGCACUCCGCCAGGCCGGGUUUCGACCACGUUCGUGCUUAGGAUGCUGGCAUAAUGGCUUUAAUUGACCCGUCUUGAAACACGG